GGUCUUAUAGUUUAAAAAAAAUAUUAAAUUGCAAAUUUAAAGUUAAUUAAGUUUAAGACUU
Molecule: transfer RNA, 61 nt
Filed under: Kusala populi
Lineage: Eukaryota; Metazoa; Arthropoda; Insecta; Hemiptera; Cicadellidae
Description: tRNA-Cys
Source: RNAcentral